UAUAUAUAUAUGAUUCACGAACACUGAAAAUAUCCAGGCUGGUCUCGGGCUAGGAACCCAUGUCAGUCAAAAUGAAUAUUGAUUGCUACCCAAAGUCUCUAUAUGUAGCCCUGGCUGACCUUGAACUCACUCUGUAGACCAGGCUGCCCUCCGACUCACAGAGAUCUGCAGGGGUCACCAGGCCAGCCCCCUUUCCCCUCAGAGGCCAGGCUGCUCUCUUCCCUGUUGCUCCAAGCCCUGCCUGCCUGUGUGACCUCACACUGUAGGGAGCAUGUGCACUAAGGUCAGCCCCUUUCUGCUCCUGCCUGUGGUCCUGCUACUCCAGAAGCUGAGGCAAGGGGAUAGCUUGAGCCUAUGAAUUUGAAACCAGCCUGUGCAACAUGGUGGGAUCUCCGAACACAAGAAAAGAGCCUCUUCAGAGGAGUCCAGCCCAGUGGCCCAUCCUCUUCCCUUCAGCCUUUGAUCUGCAGCUUGGUUCUGGCCCACGGGCCUUCCCUCUGCCUCUGGAGCCUCCCUGGUGACCCUUCUUUUCCUCUAAGUACAGUCACAAGGCUCUUACAACCCUUGAUCUCCUAUUGUCCAUUAUAAUCCCAUGGGAAUCGUUUCUGACUUUAAUCUGGAUGCCUUUUUGAAAGGAAAGCAAUAAAAAUGAAUAAACAUG
This is a long non-coding RNA of Peromyscus eremicus (cactus mouse), 661 nucleotides long. RefSeq lists it as uncharacterized. The transcript is spliced from 2 exons. NCBI's taxonomy places the organism in Eukaryota, Metazoa, Chordata, Mammalia, Rodentia, Cricetidae. The record is from RefSeq and is a predicted model, not a curated record.